RNAcentral lists this ribosomal RNA (257 nucleotides) under uncultured Pseudomonas sp. Its description in RNAcentral is "partial 16S ribosomal RNA". It matches the Rfam family "Bacterial small subunit ribosomal RNA", at positions 96 to 356 of the family's 1533-position model. The record is from RNAcentral. Lineage: Bacteria; Pseudomonadati; Pseudomonadota; Gammaproteobacteria; Pseudomonadales; Pseudomonadaceae.
CGGCGGACGGGUGAGUAAUGCCUAGGAAUCUGCCUGGUAGUGGGGGACAACGUUUCGAAAGGAACGCUAAUACCGCAUACGUCCUACGGGAGAAAGCAGGGGACCUUCGGGCCUUGCGCUAUCAGAUGAGCCUAGGUCGGAUUAGCUAGUUGGUGAGGUAAUGGCUCACCAAGGCGACGAUCCGUAACUGGUCUGAGAGGAUGACCAGUCACACUGGAACUGAGACACGGUCCAGACUCCUACGGGAGGCAGCAGCG